Long non-coding RNA from Homo sapiens (human), 632 nucleotides. Ensembl annotates it as RSF1 intronic transcript 1. Its record names the gene RSF1-IT1. NCBI's taxonomy places the organism in Eukaryota, Metazoa, Chordata, Mammalia, Primates, Hominidae. The record is from Ensembl.
UUUUCAUUCCCUAAGAAUAAAUGUGUACUGAUUAAUCUCAUGGGAGAUUGUUUCAUAAGCAUGUAUCAUUACAUUAUUUUCCUUGUAAUUAAUUUGCUAAACGGAGGUGAACAAAGUAGUCCUAAACUAAAAUUUAUUUACCAUUUCUCCUUUAAAUACAAAGACAAAUAUGAUCUAUUCAUGACAUUAUACCACUGUUUCUGUUAUUUCCCAUAUUAACUUGGCGUAGUUGUUUAAAACAUUCUUUUCUUCUUUGUAGAUGAAGAAAAUAUGACAGUGAAAUAACGAUUACUAUUGAUCAGUCAUAGUUGUUUAAAAUAAUGUCUAAUGGGCUGGGUGCGGUGGUUCACACCUGUAAUCUCAGCACUUUGGGAAGCCGAGGUGGGCAGAUUAUGCGGUCAGGAGAUCAAGACCAUCCUGGCCAACAUGGUGAAACCCCAUCUCUACUAAAAUAAAAAAAAAAAAUUAGCUGGGUUUGGUGGCACACACCUGUAAUCCCAGCUACUCGGGAGGCUGUGGCUGGAGAAUCGCUUGAACCAGCAGGUGGAGGUUGCAGUGAGCCAAGAUCACGCCACUGUUCUCCAGCCUGGGCAACACAGCGAGGCUCCGUCUCCAAAAAAAAGAAAAAAAAA